MicroRNA precursor from Ficedula albicollis (Collared flycatcher), 61 nucleotides. The record is from Ensembl. NCBI's taxonomy places the organism in Eukaryota, Metazoa, Chordata, Aves, Passeriformes, Muscicapidae.
UUAAUGCUAAUCGUGAUAGGGGUUUUUACCUCUGACUGACUCCUACAUGUUAGCAUUAACA